Molecule: long non-coding RNA, 421 nt
Organism: Gossypium arboreum
Lineage: Eukaryota; Viridiplantae; Streptophyta; Magnoliopsida; Malvales; Malvaceae
Exons: 2
Source: RefSeq, a predicted model, not a curated record
UCACUUCUUCUAAAAAAACAUAAAAAAGCUCUCAACCUCCUCCUUUCCUCCCGAUUUCGGGUCAGGGAUCCGGCCAUUAGCCACCGUGGCGGCCCCUGCCGCCAGUGUCGGCGCCGUCGUCCACGGUGGCUGAAGAUAAAAAAUGGACAUUUUUGGGCUUUUUUUACUUCUAAACCUUGAAAAAAUACCAUCUUUCAUCGGAGAUGGCAACCUCGACCUAGCCCUAUGACAGUGCGAACUCAAAAGGGUACGGAGGCCAUAGGCCAGCUGUGUAUAGAGAUUGAUGUGGAGGAGGCAAUAACGCACCUAGGGUUUCUGUUUCUGCUGUUUGGCUGAAAAUUGUUUAGGUCUUGGGCUUGUUGGGCCACUAGGGUUUUUAUUUUUGGGCCGUAUGUAAAUGGACUUUGGACUGUUUAAUUUA